GAUGAACGCUGGCGGCGUGCCUAAUACAUGCGAGUCGAGCGAACAGACAAGGAGCUUGCUCCUCUGACGUUAGCGGCGGACGGGUGAGUAACACGUGGAUAACCUACCUAUAAGACUGGGAUAACUUCGGGAAACCGGAGCUAAUACCGGAUAAUAUAUUGAACCGCAUGGUUCAAUAGUGAAAGACGGUUUUGCUGUCACUUAUAGAUGGAUCCGCGCCGCAUUAGCUAGUUGGUAAGGUAACGGCUUACCAAGGCAACGAUGCGUAGCCGACCUGAGAGGGUGAUCGGCCACACUGGAACUGAGACACGGUCCAGACUCCUACGGGAGGCAGCAGUAGGGAAUCUUCCGCAAUGGGCGAAAGCCUGACGGAGCAACGCCGCGUGAGUGAUGAAGGUCUUCGGAUCGUAAAACUCUGUUAUUAGGGAAGAACAAAUGUGUAAGUAACUAUGCACGUCUUGACGGUACCUAAUCAGAAAGCCACGGCUAACUACGUG
This 497-nucleotide ribosomal RNA is filed under the name uncultured bacterium. RNAcentral describes it as "partial 16S ribosomal RNA". It matches the Rfam family "Bacterial small subunit ribosomal RNA", at positions 28 to 507 of the family's 1533-position model. The record is from RNAcentral.